AAGACUAUACUUUCAGGGAUCAUUUCUAUAGUUUGUUGCUAGAGCAAAUAUUAAAUAAAUUCAAACAUAGCAAUAGACAAGUUGC
Molecule: small nucleolar RNA, 85 nt
Organism: Callithrix jacchus (white-tufted-ear marmoset)
Lineage: Eukaryota; Metazoa; Chordata; Mammalia; Primates; Cebidae
Gene: U3
Rfam family: Small nucleolar RNA U3
About the family: Small nucleolar RNAs (snoRNAs) are involved in the processing and modification of rRNA in the nucleolus.
Source: Ensembl